Molecule: small RNA, 86 nt
Filed under: Pongo abelii (Sumatran orangutan)
Lineage: Eukaryota; Metazoa; Chordata; Mammalia; Primates; Hominidae
Description: processed transcript
Source: RNAcentral
AGGCCCCAACCAGCCGAAGGAAGCAGAGCAACCCAGGAGCUGGCAGCCUCGGAUGGCCGGCUCCUGCCAGAGUUCAACAUGGCGGA